RNAcentral lists this long non-coding RNA (5771 nucleotides) under Zea mays. RNAcentral describes it as "long non-coding RNA (ZMAY_LNC001324)". Lineage: Eukaryota; Viridiplantae; Streptophyta; Magnoliopsida; Poales; Poaceae. The record is from RNAcentral.
AAAAGGGAAUAAUAGUCGAUUACAUCGUACGUCUGAGACGUCCAUAUAGUUCUUACAGUAAAUCAAAGUGCGGAAAAGAAACGUAGAUAAACGCGGCCUUCACAGGCAGCCGACUGGGGGUUGCCGCUAACCCACACCUAGAACUCGUCAUAGUCUUGGAACUCCUGGAAGUCUCCUUCCACAGCUUCAUCUUCGCCUGAGCAGUGGUUGCAAUGCUGACAACCUGGGGGGGUUUGGUGUGUAGAGCAAGGGUGAGUACACAUCAACAUACUCAGCAAGUAUCCUGUUUGGCUGUAGUGGACUAGCUGUAUGUGGGGAUGAGUCAAGCAGUUGCUUUUAGUUGGUCAGAUUAUUACUUACUAGUAGAAAGCCAAGUUUUAGCAUUACCCAAGUUAUUAACCCGAUGUACCCUUUCCAAACGGAAAGAAUACCACUUACCAGCACCAUAGUCAUAACCAGAACCAUCGAUCUCAUAACCACCUGUACCACAAUGUCUCUGAUCAAGUACCACUAAUCACUGGAGCUCCCUUGGCCGCUCAUAACCGCGAGCACGGCUGAUAUAUCAGUUUUCAAACACUCUGCAGAGGUUGUGCACUUUACCCACAAGCCGUGAUUCCCAUUCUGCCCGGAGAUCAUGACUCUCCAUUGAUCACUACCAAGGUGACCCAGCAGGGCAUCACUACGUAGCCUUUACAAAGAUUCCCCGGGGCUGUAGCCACCCGUUAGGUUUCCUAAAUGUACCGCACUCCUCCCCAAGGGACAAAUCAACCUUGGCAGAGCGAGCCGCAUACACCGAGUCCCAUUGACGGCACGACGGCUAAGUGAACUACACCCCGGAUCCUCUAAUUAUUCAGCUAAGGGCACCCCAUUCCACCCUCAUGGUUGCACUGUUUUCCCGGGCGGUCAUCCAUAGAACAGGUCCUUACGGAGAGGCACUCGAGAAACCGCUCGAGCCCCCUUGAAGGUCACAAGUACAACAUCAUAAUAAGAGAAGGGAAAACAGCGUAUCAUAGAUAAUCUCAUCAUGUUCAUUGAUUAGAGUUUGAGCAAUAGCAUAAAGCUAAACAGUAAUAAUCCAACCCAAAUAGGUAAGCAAGGAUAGGGAUAACAAAAGCUAGUCAAACCUUAGGUAUAAAUAUGUAAAGCGGGGGGUGAAUUAAAGAAUGAAUAGGACAGAGAUAGGUCAAAGGACACUUGCCUCCACCAACCGACUGCUGCUCAGGGGCUUCUCCUGCGAGUUCCUUGGGCUCUUCAACCGGAUCGUUCUCUAUGCGAUUGCAAACAUACAUACAUCCACACAUUUAAUACAAAAGAACAGUACACCAUACAAUAGAAUGCAAUAAGUAAACAGACGUUCUACGCGGGCUCGCGAGUACGGUUAAGAGAGAAAGAGGAAAAGACAGUCGAGAAACGAUCACGUUACAUGAUUAUAAAUUAACCACUCGCUUAAUGGAAGGAAAUUUAAUGUAGACACUAUGUUUAGCGUAAAGUAAAGUCAUGUUUCAUGUCCAAUUAUUAUAAGCAGGUGGAGGUAAACAAAAGGAUGGUCGCGCGGCGAGACGCGCGACAAAGCUCUCUAAAACAAAUUAAAAGUUAACGACUCGUCGCGCGACCGAGCACGCAACGAGACACUUCGCCUUAGAUACGAGGAGACGUUAAACGUCGCGCGACGAAGCGCACGACGGCAUACGUCGACUAAACUGAGUCCAAAGUGGAACGUCGCGUGAAUACACACACGGCGUUACACCUUAAACAACCUGAAACAAAAAAUGGGUCGUCGCGCGACGAAGCGCACGACGCAACACAAGAUAGAAUCUGAAUUUAGACAAACCGUCGCACGGCGAAGCGCGCGACGCAACACGCUAAUUAACGAAUAAUCACCGCGAGCGCGGGCGAGCGAAGAUACGGUCGGGCGAGGCCGGGACGGGAACGGGCGGCCGAACGGGGGGAAGGGCGGUUGAACCGGCCAGGGGGGCGGCCGAGGCCGGGCGGGCACGGGGCAGGGUGCGGGGGCGGCCGAGCCGGGGAGGGGUCGAGCGGGGGGGAAAGGCCGGGGACGGGGAGCCGAGCGCCGCCGCGGGAGGGAGGCCGGGCGGACAAGCCGGGGGCGGGCGCCGAGCGCCGCCGCGGGAGGGGCCGAGCGGACGAGCCGGGGGCGGGCGCCGAGCGCCGCCGCGGGGAGGGCGAGCGGACGAGCCGGGGGCGGGCGCCGAGCGCCACCGCGGGAGGGGCCGAGCGGGCGGGCAGGGGCGCCGCCGCGGGGAGGGGCCGAGCGGGCGGGCAGGGGCGCCGCCGCGCCGGGCAGGGACGGGGUCGGGCGCGGGCAGGGGGAAGAGGGAGGGUGCGCGCGCGGGGAAGAAGAGGAGGGAGAGGGAGAGAGAGAAGAGGAGGGGAGGGGAGCUCACCUCGGGGUCCAAAAUCCGGUGAUCGCCGUCUCCAAACCCUAGGGCACCACGGGGAGAGAGAGGUGGGAGAGGGAGAGGGAAGUUGUUGUGCGGGAGAUCCAAAUGAGGGAGAGAGAGAGGAUGGGGGGCGCAGGGGGGGGGGGUUGGGCGCCAGGGGCGCGCAGGCCGGGCCGGGCCGGGCCGGCUGAGCUGGGCUGGGCUAAGUUGGGCUGGGCCGAGCCACUUCGCGGAUCGAAAACCCACGACGAGCGCGGACCACUAAACGAACUUAAAACGCGAAUCAAAAUCCGGAACGGAACGAGACGAACACUCAACAUCAGACAAAGAAAUGUGCUUCGGCAUGAUGCAACACCCAUGACACUUAGGUUUUGGUUUAUACAUGACGCGGACACCUGCCGCUAUACUGAUUUGAAAUUGGGAAGAAGGAGCAAAAGGGGAAAGAGAAAAGAGAGUAACGCCCGAAUUUGGUGAGAGAAAAGAAGAAAAAAUUCUACCCCAAAUUCAGGGCGUUACACCGGGCCCAGUGGCUAGUGGCUUGGGUGGGCACCAAGGUGCGUGGCGGGACGCAUGCGGGUGUGGGCGCGUCCUGACGAGCGGGGUCCGCCUGUCAGCGACCCGAGAAGAGGGGAGAGGGGUUUGACACAGGGAGGCUAAAAGUGGGCCCCUUGUGUCAGGGUUGCCGUCUACCUCUCGCCCGUGCAUGGCGUGUGAGCCGUGUGUGGGGUCGAUGGUGCACGUGGAAGGGGGGACGUUGGGUGGCGGUGGUGGCUGGUUGGAGGACCACGGUACGACGGCACAACGCCGCCGUUGUCCCUCACCGACGAGAACGCAACGAAGAAGAGGGAACGGAGGGAGAGAGAAAAAAAGAAGGAAUGACCUGCUAUUUUACCUCGAGUGGAGCUCGGCCGGGGCGGGGCUUCGGACGGCUGUGGUGGAUCUCAGGCAAGAACAGCGGGGCGGGCUCGCCGUGGGGGCUCCAUGCGUGAGCGGCUUGUCAGGCAUGGCACCGGCGAGCUCAGAGCGGCGUCAACUCUACGCGAGGGCGGUUGGCUACAUGGGCGAGAGAAGUGAGGUGGGGGAAGGUGGCGGGCGUGCACAAGUGCUCAAAAGGGGUCGGGGUGGCGGCAGUUUCGCGAGGAGGGCGUGGCGUGGCCCGCCUUCCUUAGCGUGCGUGCGCAUGGGGGGUAGGGGAAGUGGUUACGUGGGGUCGAGGACGAGUUUAAAUCAGCCGCAAUCCACUGACGAGUGGGGUCCACGGGGUGGCUUUGCGGGCGACGGUUGCGGGGGUGGGGAGGUGGGUGGGGGCUUCCGGUGCGUUGGGCCCGCUGGUCAGUGACCACGGGCCGCGAACACGCAGGUGCGCUACGGGCGAAGCCGCUGACGGGUGGGGCCCGCUGGUUGAGGAAAGGAGAGGGGGCACAGGCGGUUUGGGCCGGGAAUGGGCCGAAAGGCCAGUUAGGCGGGGGUUAAGGGCCUCUUUCCCUUUUCUUUUUCCUUUCUCUCUUGGAUUCAUACUCAAAUAUGCCACAAAUUCAAAGGAGGUCAUCACAAGCAUAUGCAUCACACAAGGGUAAAAUUUGGGGUUCAACAUGAUGCAACACUUCAUAAAUACUUUAAGGUUUUAUCUCGUGGAUAAAAUAAGUACAACUCCAACUAAAACAAGAACCCUCCCUCUAAAGGAAAGAAGAAAUGGGGGUUAAGGGAUAAAAGAGGAGGAGUAACACUUGAAUUUAUGGAUAAAAGCAAAGAAAUUUUAUACCACCAAACUAAGGGUGUUACAACAUCAUCCACUUCACUCGAUGAAAGACAGAUUAUACGACGAUGCCCAACCCUCAUUUGAUUUGCCCGACCUCAAACUCUUGUAAAAAGGCCCCACUUCGACCUUAGCUUAUAAAAGGAUGGGAGAGGUCCACGCUCAGGACACAACCAAUCGAACAACCAAACGCCAUAACACUUGUACGCAUUAACACACCCGAGACAUGGGAACUCCUUCCUCCCUUGCCUAUUAUAACCCCUACUACAAACUCGUGUAGAGUAACAUAGAUGGUACAACUAGACAUAGGGACAUUCUACAUGAACCCGUAUAAAUCUUUGUAUCAUCUUUGCACACCAUCCCUCCCUUGACGCGUAAAGCAUGAUAAUUACUAGCCAGUGGUACGAAAUAUCAACAAUAAGCUUUAUAUUUAUUUGGAUAAAAUAUUUUAGACAUUUUAUAUGACCCAUAAUGCGUAACAGUUUUUCUACAUCUGAAAUAACAAGUUUUUAGAGUUUUUUUAAUUUGUGCCAUUAGUUAAGCAUCAAUGCUUAGUUUUACCCCUAUCUAGUAGUAAGAACGUCUCAUUCAAUACUACUAGAGAGAAGUAAACCUUAGGUGUGCUAGUGAACUAAGAGCACAAAUUUAGGACAUGUUUGGGAUAACUUUUUUGUGAAGAGCUUUUCUGAGAAUUUGGAUUCCUAAAUAAUCUCACUCUCACAAAAAUUUAGAUAUCGCGAGGCUUGCACGUGGAGGAAGAUAAAGGGGUCUGCGCGGUUUAGAGUUUAGAAAGCUCAGAUUCUUUCCAUCACGAUGACUCAAUAGAUUAUGCAUGUACGUUGAUUUAAGUAAUUUUCACAGAAGAGAUUCUCGCAGAAGCGUGCUGAGAAACGAAAUGUUUGGUUGCUAGAAGCCGAUUCUGAUGGCCAGAAUCCGACUAUAAGCCAAAACAAACAUGGUCUUAAAAUUCUCAUUUAUAGGAAUUGUUCGAUUUAGGAUGGAUCGGAGGGAAUUAAAGGGGAUUAAAUCUUUGCUAAUCAAAAUUAAAUAGAAAAAAUUAAUAUCUCAAUAAUCAAUCCUCUCCGACCCACGGCAAACGAUAGUGUACAACUUAACCCUCAUGUCGUGUCUUUGUGUUAAUCUGCCCUGAUGCGGCUAGAGAUGACAAUGGGUAUUAGAAACCUGACAGCUUUUACCUGAUAUAAAGGCGGGUAUGAGAUUAUUUCUCUACCCAUAGGUAAAAUAUAUCUGCAUCAAUGCCACUAUAACAAUCUAAUAAAGUCCAUCUUAACUAAAAUAAAACUCUUCUCUAGCUAUCAUUUAUCUAGUAUGUAAUCUUAUGAUAUGUUAUAGGUGAAGUUUAACUUGUUUUUUAUGUUUAUUUAAUAUUUUGAGUGAUUAAUAUAUUGAAAUUUAAGACUUUUCUAGUGAGUAUAGGUUACGCGACGGAUAAAAUUACCCGCGUGAAUAAGGAUAUGAAUACAAUUUUAUACCCACGACCCUAUACAGCUAACCUAGAAUUUUUUUGAUACGUACCCGUUGGCAUGAUGUGGCAAGAGGCCCCGAGCACAUCUUUAUCACUUAUCAGCGUCAAUGGGCCACUCGGAUCUCUU